GAGGGAAACAACCCAGACCGCCAGCUAAGGUCCCAAAGUCAUGGUUAAGUGGGAAACGAUGUGGGAAGGCCCAGACAGCCAGGAUGUUGGCUUAGAAGCAGCCAUCAUUUAAAGAAAGCGUAAUAGCUCACUGGUCGAGUCGGCCUGCGCGGAAGAUGUAACGGGGCUAAACCAUGCACCGAAGCUGCGGCAGCGACGCUUAUGCGUUGUUGGGUAGGGGAGCGUUCUGUAAGCCUGUGAAGGUGUGCUGUGAGGCAUGCUGGAGGUAUCAGAAGUGCGAAUGCUGACAUAAGUAACGAUAAAGCGGGUGAAAAGCCCGCUCGCCGGAAGACCAAGGGUUCCUGUCCAACGUUAAUCGGGGCAGGGUGAGUCGACCCCUAAGGCGAGGCCGAAAGGCGUAGUCGAUGGGAAACAGGUUAAUAUUCCUGUACUUGGUGUUACUGCGAAGGGGGGACGGAGAAGGCUAUGUUGGCCGGGCGACGGUUGUCCCGGUUUAAGCGUGUAGGCUGGUUUUCCAGGCAAAUCCGGAAAAUCAAGGCUGAGGCGUGAUGACGAGGCACUACGGUGCUGAAGCAACAAAUGCCCUGCUUCCAGGAAAAGCCUCUAAGCAUCAGGUAACAUCAAAUCGUACCCCAAACCGACACAGGUGGUCAGGUAGAGAAUACCAAGGCGCUUGAGAGAACUCGGGUGAAGGAACUAGGCAAAAUGGUGCCGUAACUUCGGGAGAAGG
RNAcentral lists this ribosomal RNA (730 nucleotides) under Escherichia coli. RNAcentral's name for it is "partial 23S ribosomal RNA". It matches the Rfam family "Bacterial large subunit ribosomal RNA", at positions 1015 to 1746 of the family's 2925-position model. The record is from RNAcentral. Lineage: Bacteria; Pseudomonadati; Pseudomonadota; Gammaproteobacteria; Enterobacterales; Enterobacteriaceae.